UGUUGUGCCCAUUUACAAGAAAGGUAAUAGGGAGGAGUCGGGCAACUAUAGGCCAGUAAGCCUUACUUCAGUAGUGGGGAAAGUGAUGGAAACCAUGUUAAAGGAUAAGAUUGAUGAACAUCUAAAAACACAUGGAUUUCAAGAUCAGAGACAACAUGGGUUUACUUCAGGGAGAUCAUGCCAAACUAAUCUUAUUGAUUUUUUUGAUUG
Pelobates cultripes (western spadefoot toad) is the source of this 210-nucleotide non-coding RNA. NCBI's taxonomy places the organism in Eukaryota, Metazoa, Chordata, Amphibia, Anura, Pelobatidae. The record is from the annotation of a GenBank genome assembly.